This 557-nucleotide ribosomal RNA is filed under the name Alternaria sp. YLM9. Its description in RNAcentral is "eukaryotic LSU rRNA". The stretch from base 222 to 375 matches the Rfam family "5.8S ribosomal RNA". Lineage: Eukaryota; Fungi; Ascomycota; Dothideomycetes; Pleosporales; Pleosporaceae. The record is from RNAcentral.
UUGGAAGUAAAAAUCGUAACAAGGUCUCCGUAGGUGAACCUGCGGAGGGAUCAUUACACAAAUAUGAAGGCGGGCUGGAACCUCUCGGGGUUACAGCCUUGCUGAAUUAUUCACCCUUGUCUUUUGCGUACUUCUUGUUUCCUUGGUGGGUUCGCCCACCACUAGGACAAACAUAAACCUUUUGUAAUUGCAAUCAGCGUCAGUAACAAAUUAAUAAUUACAACUUUCAACAACGGAUCUCUUGGUUCUGGCAUCGAUGAAGAACGCAGCGAAAUGCGAUAAGUAGUGUGAAUUGCAGAAUUCAGUGAAUCAUCGAAUCUUUGAACGCACAUUGCGCCCUUUGGUAUUCCAAAGGGCAUGCCUGUUCGAGCGUCAUUUGUACCCUCAAGCUUUGCUUGGUGUUGGGCGUCUUGUCUCUAGCUUUGCUGGAGACUCGCCUUAAAGUAAUUGGCAGCCGGCCUACUGGUUUCGGAGCGCAGCACAAGUCGCACUCUCUAUCAGCAAAGGUCUAGCAUCCAUUAAGCCUUUUUUCAACUUUGACCUCGGAUCAGGUAGAU